RNAcentral lists this ribosomal RNA (423 nucleotides) under uncultured archaeon. RNAcentral's name for it is "partial 16S ribosomal RNA". It matches the Rfam family "Archaeal small subunit ribosomal RNA", at positions 323 to 746 of the family's 1478-position model. The record is from RNAcentral.
CUACGGGGUGCUCCAGGCGAGAAAACUUUGCAAUGUGCGAAAGCACGACAAGGUUAAUCCGAGUGGUUUGUGCUAAACGAACCUUUUGACAGUCCUAGAAACACUGUUGAAUAAGGGGUGGGCAAGAUUCUGGUGUCAGCCGCCGCGGUAAAACCAGCACCUCAAGUGGUCAGGAUGAUUAUUGGGCCUAAAGCAUCCGUAGCCGGCUCUGUAAGUUUUCGGUUAAAUCUGUACGCUCAACGUACAGGCUGCCGGGAAUACUGCAGAGCUAGGGAGUGGGAGAGGUAGACGGUACUCGGUAGGAAGGGGUAAAAUCCUUUGAUCUAUUGAUGACCACCUGUGGCGAAGGCGGUCUACCAGAACACGUCCGACGGUGAGGGAUGAAAGCUGGGGGAGCAAACCGGAUUAGAUACCCGAGUAGUC